CGGCCGCGGUACCCUGACCGUGCUAAGGUAGCAUAAUCCCUUGCCUCUUAAUUAGUGGCUAGUAUGAAUGGAUAAACGAGAAUCAAACUGUCUCUAUAAGUUAUUUAAAAAUUGUCCUUCAAGUGAAGAGACUUGAAUUAAAAUAAAAGACAAGAAGACCCUGUAGAGCCUAAGCUUAAUAUAAAUCUUUAAAUAUAACUAAACUUAAUCUUUAUAUCUGCUCUAGUUGGGGCGACUAAGGAACACCUAAAACUUCCUUUAUUUCUUCGACAUACCUGUCCUAAAAUUGACCCGCCAUUUACGCGAUUAAAAAACAAGGCUACCUCAGGGAUAACAGUCUAAUCUUCCUUAAGAGUCCACAUUGACAGGAAGGAUUGGCACCUCGAUGUUGGCUUAGGGGCACUCCAUGGCGCAACCGCCUUAACAGUAGGUUUGUUCAACCUUUAAUACCCUACGUGAUC
RNAcentral lists this ribosomal RNA (461 nucleotides) under Aricidea suecica meridionalis. Its description in RNAcentral is "partial large subunit ribosomal RNA". It matches the Rfam family "Bacterial large subunit ribosomal RNA", at positions 1928 to 2605 of the family's 2925-position model. Lineage: Eukaryota; Metazoa; Annelida; Polychaeta; Paraonidae. The record is from RNAcentral.